RNAcentral lists this long non-coding RNA (758 nucleotides) under Gallus gallus (chicken). Its description in RNAcentral is "lncRNA (ENSGALG00010010669.1)". Lineage: Eukaryota; Metazoa; Chordata; Aves; Galliformes; Phasianidae. The record is from RNAcentral.
AAGCAAGAAAAGCAACAAAAGGUCUCUAUAAUCGUCAUUUGAAAUAUUGAACACUGAGUGCCAAACAUUUCAAAAUGUAGUGUAAAUAUGAUACUUUAUUAUUUGUUCUUUUAUGUACGUUCAAAGAUUUUUCUUCACAGUUGUUCUUUCAUACACUAAGGAAAAGAAAGACUUCAAAAGAAUUACAACAACUGAGCUACAGUAAGUGAAGUUGCUUAUUCAGAAUUUGAAAUGCUUCUGUGGCUACAAUGACUUUUCAGCAGCACCUGCUAUUUUUAUGUCUCUCAUUUGGUAUCCAAACUUGGAAACACUUGUCAUCAAAUUUAUGAGGUCUCAUAUCAACCAAAGAAAACUGCAUGAGUGGAUAUAAAAAAUAAUGUGACUCUCCCCUCCAACAGGACAAAAGCAGAUCUUGGGUUUCCUGCAGACAUGGUCCUCCUGCUGUCAGCCUGUACAUCUGCAUGGUACAUAACAACUUCUUCACUGCAUUGACCCUGAAGAUCAAAGAGCUACUGAAGGCAGUUGGAGCUACUGCAUUCUGAUUCAGCUUGAGAUUUACAGUACCGUGCAGAUCAUGUUUUACUUUACCCGAUCCAAUUCACCUACUAUCUCAGAGUAAGAUAUAAUUUCAGUAAGACAGCACUGUGUCCUUACAGAUCAAAACCAGCCAGAAGCAAACCAGAGAACUGGCAAACAGAAAGUACAGAAAAGAAUAGACUCUUCUUGCUGAUACAAUUAAAUAAAAGUCAAUUGUUGAA